UUAAUGAUAGGUAUAUCACAGUGUUGUGUACCAACUGCAGAAUUAUUGAGUCUAACUGUGCAUUCUCUUUUCACAGGAGCUCAACCAUCUACCCUUCCCUCUCUACAUUCCUGCUGCUUCCUCUCUCCUUCCAUUCGUCUUCCUCGCUCACAGGGCCUCAGAGCUAUCGCAGCUGGAUCCAGGUGACGGGACUUCUGUGUCACUGGUCAGGGCCCAGGGAUGUGGAGGAGAGUGCAGCUGUUCCAUGUUUCCUCUGAGAAAGGCAUGGACAACCCACCUUCCCCUCCACCGUGGAAAAGACCUUGAUAUCACUGGCCAUUGAAUUCAGCCUGAUUGGGCCACAAAAG
Molecule: long non-coding RNA, 347 nt
Organism: Larimichthys crocea (large yellow croaker)
Lineage: Eukaryota; Metazoa; Chordata; Actinopteri; Sciaenidae
Exons: 3
Source: RefSeq, a predicted model, not a curated record